This 477-nucleotide ribosomal RNA is filed under the name Streptococcus sp. oral taxon 070. Its description in RNAcentral is "bacterial SSU rRNA". It matches the Rfam family "Bacterial small subunit ribosomal RNA", at positions 28 to 488 of the family's 1533-position model. The record is from RNAcentral. Lineage: Bacteria; Bacillati; Bacillota; Bacilli; Lactobacillales; Streptococcaceae.
GACGAACGCUGGCGGCGUGCCUAAUACAUGCAAGUAGAACGCUGAAGCUUGGUGCUUGCACCGAGCGGAUGAGUUGCGAACGGGUGAGUAACGCGUAGGUAACCUGCCUGGUAGCGGGGGAUAACUAUUGGAAACGAUAGCUAAUACCGCAUAAAAUGGAUUAUCGCAUGAUAAUCCAUUGAAAGGUGCAAAUGCAUCACUACCAGAUGGACCUGCGUUGUAUUAGCUAGUUGGUGGGGUAACGGCUCACCAAGGCGACGAUACAUAGCCGACCUGAGAGGGUGAUCGGCCACACUGGGACUGAGACACGGCCCAGACUCCUACGGGAGGCAGCAGUAGGGAAUCUUCGGCAAUGGACGGAAGUCUGACCGAGCAACGCCGCGUGAGUGAAGAAGGUUUUCGGAUCGUAAAGCUCUGUUGUAAGAGAAGAACGAGUGUGAGAGUGGAAAGUUCACACUGUGACGGUAUCUACCAGAA